GUGGGGAAUAUUGGGCAAUGGGGGGAACCCUGACCCAGCGACGCCGCGUGGGUGAAGAAAUCCCUCGGGAUGUAAAGCCCUGUUGUAUGGGAAGAGCAGAAGACGGUACCAUACGAGGAAGCCCCGGCAAACUACGUGCCAGCAGCCGCGGUAAUACGUAGGGGGCAAGCUUUGUCCGGAAUUACUGGGCGUAAAGCGCACGCAGGCUGAAUUAUAAGUCGGUAGUCAAAUACGGAGGCUCAACUUCCGGAUAUCUAUGGAUACUGUAAAUCUAGAGUAUGUGAGAGGGAAGCGGAAUUCCCGGUGUAGCGGUGAAAUGCGUAGAUAUUGGGAGGAACACCAGUGGCGAAGGCGGCUUCCUGGCACAAUACUGACGCUCAUGUGCGAAAGCUAGGGCAGCGAACGGGAUUAGAUACCCUUGUAGUCC
This 427-nucleotide ribosomal RNA is filed under the name uncultured bacterium. Its description in RNAcentral is "partial 16S ribosomal RNA". It matches the Rfam family "Bacterial small subunit ribosomal RNA", at positions 354 to 796 of the family's 1533-position model. The record is from RNAcentral.